UACAGAGACUGCAAGCGUUAUUCGGAUUCACUGGGCGUAAAGGGUGCGCAGGCGGCCGUGUGUGUGAGGCGUGAAAGCCCGGGGCUUAACCCCGGAAUUGCACCCGAUACUGCGUGGCUCGAGUACCGGAGAGGUUGGUGGAAUUCUCGGUGUAGAGGUGAAAUUCGUAGAUAUCGAGAGGAACACCUGUGGCGAAGGCGGCCAACUGGACGAGUACUGACGCUGAGGUGCGAAAGCGUGGGGAGCAAACAGG
This 253-nucleotide ribosomal RNA is filed under the name uncultured bacterium. RNAcentral's name for it is "partial 16S ribosomal RNA". It matches the Rfam family "Bacterial small subunit ribosomal RNA", at positions 524 to 776 of the family's 1533-position model. The record is from RNAcentral.